AUUGAACGCUGGCGGCAGGCCUAACACAUGCAAGUCGAGCGGAUGAAGGGAGCUUGCUCCUGGAUUCAGCGGCGGACGGGUGAGUAAUGCCUAGGAAUCUGCCUGGUAGUGGGGGAUAACGUCCGGAAACGGGCGCUAAUACCGCAUACGUCCUGAGGGAGAAAGUGGGGGAUCUUCGGACCUCACGCUAUCAGAUGAGCCUAGGUCGGAUUAGCUAGUUGGUGGGGUAAAGGCCUACCAAGGCGACGAUCCGUAACUGGUCUGAGAGGAUGAUCAGUCACACUGGAACUGAGACACGGUCCAGACUCCUACGGGAGGCAGCAGUGGGGAAUAUUGGACAAUGGGCGGAAGCCUGAUCCAGCCAUGCCGCGUGUGUGAAGAAGGUCUUCGGAUUGUAAAGCACUUUAGGUUGGGAGGAAGGGCAGUAAGUUAAUACCUUGCUGUUUUGACGUUACCAACAGAAUAAGCACCGGCUAACUUCGUG
This 484-nucleotide ribosomal RNA is filed under the name uncultured bacterium. Its description in RNAcentral is "partial 16S ribosomal RNA". It matches the Rfam family "Bacterial small subunit ribosomal RNA", at positions 30 to 507 of the family's 1533-position model. The record is from RNAcentral.